UGUGCCUGGACCCUCAGUUGUGUGCCAUGACCUUCAUCUGUGUGUGCCAUGACCCUCAGCUGUGUGCCCAUGUGUGCCAGAACCCUCA
Sturnus vulgaris (Common starling) is the source of this 88-nucleotide non-coding RNA. The record is from RefSeq and is a predicted model, not a curated record. NCBI's taxonomy places the organism in Eukaryota, Metazoa, Chordata, Aves, Passeriformes, Sturnidae.